GCUGCGCACUUCGGUCUUUUACGUCGGCCUUCGCGAGCGUCUGGGCGGGUGGUAGGUGAGUGGGUAUUGCGGGCUAGUAUCCGAGCAAAAGAUGGUGGCGCAGGCCGAGUUAAGAGCUUUAAUCCUGUGAAGACAUCUUAGUGAAGAGUUUAGAGUGCUGAGAGUUGAAAGCUUGCACGUGGGAAACGUGCGGCCGGACUGCCACAUGUACUGAGGUUGAGUCGUGACGGCCACAGGCUCCGAGUUUUGGCGUGAGGAACCGCUGAUCGGCCACGGGCGCCGAACUUGCUGGCCUCCGGCAUGUGCCUGAGCGGCGGCGGAAAAACCACCUUAAUUGGGGCGGAGGGUUAGUUUUAACAGCAAAGGGCCUUUACUAAAAUGGCGAAGGCCUUCCGUCGGCGUUGUUUUAAAAUGGGAAGCCUCGACCCUGUAUUGAAACUGAGCUGUUCGAAGGCGGCGUUGUGUGCAAUUCGGAUUAAUGAAGGGGAAGGGUUUUGUGUGGAAAAACGCCUUGGAGUGUGACAUUUCUGCGAGAAUGCUUAAAUACCGAUUUCCCGCAGGAACAAUGGCGCUGUCUUCAGUGGCACAGUGGAGCAGCUCUGAAGAUGCAAAGAUACACGAAAAAACUUCCAGAACAUCUGGGAGAAUAUUUAAUGGAAAAUCGCUUGGUUAAAACCUGACACUUUUAACAGUGAACAGCGUUCUGAGUGUGGACGAGUAGCCAGUGAAGAUAAUGAAUGUCGAAUGUGACUGACUAGCAGCUUCAUUUUGAAGUAGGUUGUAUGGCUUAAAAGUUCUGUAGUAUUUGUACUAUAAUACUUGCCUUUUAGCAUUACCUUGGUUUGUAGUCAGUGUCACAGAAGUGCAGUUUAAUGUAUUAUGUGUACAUAUACAAGGUCUGAUUGGUCUAAUCAAUGAUGAAACCUAUCCCGAAGCUGAUAACCUGAAGAAAAAUAAGUACGGAUUCGGCUUCUGAGAUUAAGACCAGUAAUUCAGAGGUGGAGUAAAUUUUGUUGCCGUGAUUUUAUAACAGUUGUGUUAUAAAAUCCUGGGUUUUUUUUUUUUCUGCCAACAGUGAGGGUCGCUGUCUGCCCAUUGAUAGAGGCCAGAUUGUCUUGGAAGUUCCAAAGUUGCAACGAUUUCUGUAAGUGGAGUUUUUCUGUUUGCUUAGAGAUCAGUGAAUAUUGUGUCCUUGGUCUUAUCUGUGAUGAUCUUAUCCCGAACCUGAACUUCUGUUGAAAAAAAAAAACUUUUACGGAUCUGGCUUCUGAGAUGGACCGUUAUAAGGACAAUAUUUUUUUUUAAUACUUUUAAUGCUUUUACAUAUGUUGUAAUGUUUGUAGUCUUGUAAGAAUCUCGUGUUUUUCCUUUUCUAGGGCUAGUGCCACGAGGUUUACUUGACUGUUGUGUGAAAAGCUGAUAAGAAAACCAUCCAGAAAAAAGCUCUUCGUUUUACAAACAUGAAAAUAAAACAUGUAAUUUUGGAUUA
RNAcentral lists this long non-coding RNA (1489 nucleotides) under Homo sapiens (human). Its description in RNAcentral is "small nucleolar RNA host gene 5". The stretch from base 1200 to 1274 matches the Rfam family "Small nucleolar RNA SNORD50". Lineage: Eukaryota; Metazoa; Chordata; Mammalia; Primates; Hominidae. The record is from RNAcentral.